CUAGUAACAAUAAAAUGAUCUCAUCAGCUCUUGAGCCUCUAAUGGGAUUUGAGAUGCGGCAAUAAAAUACUGAUCCAAGAAGAAGAAGAAGAAGAAGAAGAAGAAGAAGAAGAAAUGUUUAGAUUUCAGGACGCAACAUCAGUAUUGAUAAGCGUGAUUCUGAGAAAAAGCAUAAGCAUAUUUCAUGAACUUGCCUUCAUAUUGCUAGACUUGCUAUCGAUUUUAUCGUCAGCUGUUGAAUAUUCAAGAUUUAACAAUCGCCACUCUCCUGCAGCUUUCACCAGGGAUUAUUGAUGCACGAGAAGAGAAAAAGGAUCAUCGCAAAUUGUCUAAGAGUUCAAAACCAUUGAUGCCCAGAGAACAGUUUGAGCAAGAGACAACGAGCUGUUGACUCAUCGCUUUAUUAGGGCUGCAGCAACUCAUUCAAAGAGAUAACUAUUGAUAUUUUCUUAUUUUUUUUCACUCAUAAUAGACAUGAAAAGAUACAGAUUUGAUUUUUAUCGACUUGUGAACCACAGAUUGAUAGAAGAGAUAUCUGAGGCUUCACAUCUUUGACAUUGUGUAAUCCAUGGCAUCCACAAGGAAAUCUGCAACCACAGGAUUCACCAAGUGUUACAAGUGCAGCCUAGUUGGUCAUGAUGGGACCCCACAACAGACGCAUUUUCCUGAAGAUUUUCUUUCUCAAUCACUUUUAGAACAGCCAGCCCUGCAGCAGUACACACGGGAUUCCCCCCGAAUGUGUUGAAGUAACUUCGACGAGUCAAUACUUCAGCAAUCUCAGGUGUUGUCACCACAGCACCAAGAGGAAUACCAUUCCCAAUACCCUGUACAAAUCUUAAUCUAUCUAUAAAUAUGUUUGGCUAAUAAUGAGAUUUCAGGAUACCUGCAAGGGAAAAAAAAAAGCCAAACCAAACCUACCUUUGCCAUUGUCACUAUGUCAGGAACAACACCCUGGGCUCCAAAUCCCCAAAAAUGACUUCCAGUACGAGCAAAUCCAGCUUGAACCUCAUCGGCUAUACAAAGGCCUCCUGCUUUUUUAAUGCUUGUAUAAGCAGCAGGCAAGUAACCUGGGGCCAAUUCUACAAUUCCGCCCACUCCCUGCCAUACGCAAGAAAGUAAUUCCCCUUAGAAUGCUUAUACAAGUCCAACAAGAAGUCAAUUUAAGGGAGAUGGAAGUCCACAAAGAUCAUAAUUACCUGUAUAGCUUCAGAUAUAAAUCCAGCAACAUGGCCAGUUGUUCCAAAGUCAAUGAUAUCUUGGACAUCUUUUGCGUACUUUUCUCCAUCUGAACCAAAUACACCUCUAUAUGGAUCUGGGUUCAAGGCAUGAUGCACUCCACUCUGUUGGUGAACCAAGAAGAAUGAGAAUAUGCUUUGUAACCAUCUUUAUAAUGAAAGGAGAAAGUUGAUUAUAUGAAAAGAAAAAGAAAGACGCCAAAUUGAAUUUCACAAUUGAAAUUCCAGUAUAAGAGAGACUUCCAACCUUGCAAGAGCAAUAUUAACUUUUUAUCUCAAAUUCCAGUAUAAGAGAGACUUCCAACCUUACGAGAGCAAUAUUAACUUUUAUCUCGUUCAAUAUUGUUUAGCAUGAUGUUACUACUGGCCAAAAGAAUACAUAAAGCUAGCCAAGAUAUUUAAUUAAAGUAGCUGUAAGCUUCUAAAGUGAUCUGCUUGGUUAUGUAUCUUGCUUUACUGAUGCCAAGUGGAAACUAAAGGUCCAAUUCAUUCCAUGUAA
Hevea brasiliensis (rubber tree) is the source of this 1734-nucleotide long non-coding RNA. RefSeq lists it as uncharacterized. The record is from RefSeq and is a predicted model, not a curated record. Lineage: Eukaryota; Viridiplantae; Streptophyta; Magnoliopsida; Malpighiales; Euphorbiaceae. The transcript is spliced from 3 exons.